RNAcentral lists this transfer RNA (73 nucleotides) under Rhizobium sp. Root149. It matches the Rfam family "tRNA". From Rfam's summary of the family: Transfer RNA (tRNA) molecules are approximately 80 nucleotides in length. Their secondary structure includes four short double-helical elements and three loops (D, anti-codon, and T loops). Further hydrogen bonds mediate the characteristic L-shaped molecular structure. tRNAs have two regions of fundamental functional importance: the anti-codon, which is responsible for specific mRNA codon recognition, and the 3' end, to which the tRNAs corresponding amino acid is attached (by aminoacyl-tRNA synthetases). tRNAs cope with the degeneracy of the genetic code in two manners: having more than one tRNA (with a specific anti-codon) for a particular amino acid; and 'wobble' base-pairing, i.e. permitting non-standard base-pairing at the 3rd anti-codon position. The record is from Rfam by way of RNAcentral. Lineage: Bacteria; Pseudomonadati; Pseudomonadota; Alphaproteobacteria; Hyphomicrobiales; Rhizobiaceae.
GCCGCUUUAGCUCAGUCGGUAGAGCACGUCAUUCGUAAUGACGGGGUCACGUGUUCGAGUCACGUAAGCGGCA